CCAAAGGCUCUUCUAAGAGCCAACACUUCUCCUGUCAGCGGCUCAU
Non-coding RNA from Oryzias latipes (Japanese medaka), 46 nucleotides. Lineage: Eukaryota; Metazoa; Chordata; Actinopteri; Beloniformes; Adrianichthyidae. The record is from Rfam.